Molecule: ribosomal RNA, 406 nt
Filed under: uncultured bacterium
Lineage: Bacteria
Description: partial 16S ribosomal RNA
Rfam family: Bacterial small subunit ribosomal RNA
Source: RNAcentral
AUUGAACGCUGGCGGCAGGCCUAACACAUGCAAGUCGAGCGAGCGGCGGACGGGUGAGUAAUGUCUGGGAAACUGCCUGAUGGAGGGGGAUAACUACUGGAAACGGUAGCUAAUACCGCAUACCAUCGGAUGUGCCCAGAUGGGAUUAGCUAGUAGGUGGGGUAACGGUUCACCUAGGCGACGAUCCUUAGCUGGUCUGAGAGGAUGACCAGCCACAGUGCAACCAGUACACGGCCCAGACUCCUACGGCAGGAAGCAGGGGGGAAUAUUGCACAAUGGGCGCAAGCCUGAUGCAGCCAUGCCGAGUGAAUGAAGAAGGCGGUGGGGUUGUAAAGUACUUGCAACGGGGAGGCGUUACCCGCAGAAAUAGCACCGGAUAAUUCCGUGCAGGCAGCCGCGGUAAUUC